RNAcentral lists this ribosomal RNA (464 nucleotides) under uncultured Klebsiella sp. Its description in RNAcentral is "bacterial SSU rRNA". It matches the Rfam family "Bacterial small subunit ribosomal RNA", at positions 338 to 795 of the family's 1533-position model. The record is from RNAcentral. Lineage: Bacteria; Pseudomonadati; Pseudomonadota; Gammaproteobacteria; Enterobacterales; Enterobacteriaceae.
CCUACGGGGGGCAGCAGUGGGGAAUAUUGCACAAUGGGCGCAAGCCUGAUGCAGCCAUGCCGCGUGUGUGAAGAAGGCCUUCGGGUUGUAAAGCACUUUCAGCGGAGAGGAAGGCGGUGAGGUUAAUAACCUCAUCGAUUGACGUUACCCGCAGAAGAAGCACCGGCUAACUCCGUGCCAGCAGCCGCGGUAAUACGGAGGGUGCAAGCGUUAAUCGGAAUUACUGGGCGUAAAGCGCACGCAGGCGGUCUGUCAAGUCGGAUGUGAAAUCCCCGGGCUCAACCUGGGAACUGCAUUCGAAACUGGCAGGCUAGAGUCUUGUAGAGGGGGGUAGAAUUCCAGGUGUAGCGGUGAAAUGCGUAGAGAUCUGGAGGAAUACCGGUGGCGAAGGCGGCCCCCUGGACAAAGACUGACGCUCAGGUGCGAAAGCGUGGGGAGCAAACAGGAUUAGAUACCCCUGAGUC